This 406-nucleotide ribosomal RNA is filed under the name uncultured bacterium. Its description in RNAcentral is "partial 16S ribosomal RNA". It matches the Rfam family "Bacterial small subunit ribosomal RNA", at positions 29 to 526 of the family's 1533-position model. The record is from RNAcentral.
AUUGAACGCUGGCGGCAUGCCUAACACAUGCAAGUCGGACGAGUGGCGGACGGGUGAGUAAUGUCUGGGAACGUGCCCGAUAGUGGGGGAUAACUACUGGACAGGGUAGCUAAUACCGCAUACUAUCCGAUGGGCCAAGAUGGGAUUAGCUAGUAGGUGGGGUAACGGCUCACCAAGGCGACGAUCACUAGCGGGUAUGAGAGGAUGACCAGCCACACUGGAACUGAGACACGGGCCAGACUCCGACGGGAGGCAGCAGUGGGGAAUAUGGCACAAUGGGCGCAAGCCUGAUGCAGCCAUGCCGCGUGUGUGAAGAAGGCCUUCGGGUUAUAAAGCACUUUCGGUGGGGAGGCGUUACUCGAAGAAGAAGCACCGGCUAACUCCGUGCCAGCAGCCGCGGUAAUUC